Molecule: ribosomal RNA, 864 nt
Filed under: uncultured Neocallimastigales
Lineage: Eukaryota; Fungi; Neocallimastigomycota; Neocallimastigomycetes; Neocallimastigales
Description: partial large subunit ribosomal RNA
Rfam family: Eukaryotic large subunit ribosomal RNA
Source: RNAcentral
UAUCAGUCAUGCAUAGCAUAUCAAUAAGCGGAGGAAAAGAGGGCUACUUACCUACGCUUAGGAUGUUGACGCGCGUGUGUGCGUGAGUCUAUACAUGACUCUGUGCAUAUCAAUAAGCGGAGGAAAAGAAACUAACAAGGAUUCCCCUAGUAACGGCGAGUGAAGCGGGGAAGAGCUCAAAUUUGAAAUCUUAAAGGGUUUCCCUUUACGAAUUGUAGUUUAAAGAAGUGUUUUCUGUUGAGGUUUUGGUAAAAGUUCUUUGGAAUAGGACAUCAUAGAGGGUGAGAAUCCCGUAUUUGACCGUUACUUUCCAGCUGUGUGAUACACUUUCAAAGAGUCGGAUUGUUUGGGAAUGCAGUCCAAGAUGGGUGGUAAAUUUCAUCUAAAGCUAAAUAUUGGCGAGAGACCGAUAGCGAACAAGUACCGUGAGGGAAAGAUGAAAAGAACUUUGAAAAGAGAGUUAAACAGUACGUGAAAUUGUCAAAAGGGAAGCGUUUGACACCAGUGUUGUUUCUCUGAAAAUCAAUUAAAGAACUGUUUAUGCUAAGCUGUUUAGACUUUAUCAGCUAUCUGUUUAGUUUUGAGCUUUUCUUUAAUGCACUUUUCAGUUAACAAGUCAACAUCAAUUUCUUUUGCUGUAAAAAAGCUUGAGGAAGGUGGCUUGAGAUUCGUCUUAAGUGUUUAUAGCCUCUUGCCUAUGCAGUCGGAGAGAUUGAGGUCUGCAGCGUAGAUCCUUCGGGGCUAAAUGCAUUUGUGCUAAGUUAUAGCAUUUUAUAGACAACUUGUUGACUAUGAUUUGUCUUGUAGCUUACUCGCUUAUGUUAUUUUACCUACGCUUAGGAUGUUGACGCGCGUGUGUGCGUG